This 765-nucleotide ribosomal RNA is filed under the name uncultured Streptococcus sp. RNAcentral describes it as "bacterial SSU rRNA". It matches the Rfam family "Bacterial small subunit ribosomal RNA", at positions 28 to 776 of the family's 1533-position model. The record is from RNAcentral. Lineage: Bacteria; Bacillati; Bacillota; Bacilli; Lactobacillales; Streptococcaceae.
GAUGAACGCUGGCGGCGUGCCUAAUACAUGCAAGUAGAACGCUGAAGCUUGGUGCUUGCACCGAGCGGAGGAGUUGCGAACGGGUGAGUAACACGUAGGUAACCUGCCUCUUAGCGGGGGAUAACUAUUGGAAACGAUAGCUAAUACCGCAUAAAAGUCGACAUUGCAUGAUGUUGACUUGAAAGGUGCAACUGCAUCACUAAGAGAUGGACCUGCGUUGUAUUAGCUAGUUGGUGAGGUAACGGCUCACCAAGGCGACGAUACAUAGCCGACCUGAGAGGGUGAUCGGCCACACUGGGACUGAGACACGGCCCAGACUCCUACGGGAGGCAGCAGUAGGGAAUCUUCGGCAAUGGACGGAAGUCUGACCGAGCAACGCCGCGUGAGUGAAGAAGGUUUUCGGAUCGUAAAGCUCUGUUGUAAGAGAAGAACGAGUGUGAGAGUGGAAAGUUCACACUGUGACGGUAACUUACCAGAAAGGGACGGCUAACUACGUGCCAGCAGCCGCGGUAAUACGUAGGUCCCGAGCGUUAUCCGGAUUUAUUGGGCGUAAAGCGAGCGCAGGCGGUUAGAUAAGUCUGAAGUUAAAGGCUGUGGCUUAACCAUAGUACGCUUUGGAAACUGUUUAACUUGAGUGCAGAAGGGGAGAGUGGAAUUCCAUGUGUAGCGGUGAAAUGCGUAGAUAUAUGGAGGAACACCGGUGGCGAAAGCGGCUCUCUGGUCUGUAACUGACGCUGAGGCUCGAAAGCGUGGGGAGCAAACAGG